Molecule: long non-coding RNA, 2552 nt
Organism: Nerophis ophidion (straightnose pipefish)
Lineage: Eukaryota; Metazoa; Chordata; Actinopteri; Syngnathiformes; Syngnathidae
Exons: 3
Source: RefSeq, a predicted model, not a curated record
AGGCUUCUUCUGGACAUCCUGAAUGCUGGGACCUACUGGAGUUCGUACAGCAAAUCCUGAACGGUGAACACCAACUCCUGAAAGAUCCCUGUGGAUGUAUUGCUUGGACUCCAGGUAGGCCAUGGCCUCGGAGACGUCUUUGCACAUCUCCAGCAGCUGCACGGACGUGGGGUGCUGCCUGAGGCCCUCCCUGAGUCAAUGGGAAAAGGUGAACAUCAGUCGGCAUCCCAAUGAGAGCAGACAUUGUACAAUAAGUGAUUGUUUUAAUAUGUUCCUAGUUAAUAUUUCUUGUUUAGCACUUAGCAAUACUGCUACUUGAUGUUUAGUUUUUCACUAAAGCUGCAUCCGUUUAGCACACAGCUUCCAAAACUUGUAGCUUAUCCUCCGUAUAUUCAAAUUCAAAAACCUAAGUUUCUGGAUCAUCAUUUGCUCCAAAGUGGUGUUUGAAGUCUGCCACGAUUAUUAGUGUUGUUUUUGAAGGGAAAAGGGAACAUUGUCAUGCCUCUGUGAAAAUAAUAUGCCGCAACAGUAUGCUUAAUAUGAGUAAAAUACAUAAAUAUCACAUAUUAUUACAAAUGUGCCUGUUAUUACUUUACAUAUAAAUUCACAGCUUGUAUAUAAAACAUUGAUGGAUGUUUUUAGAGGUAUUUAUAGGCGGACUCCGUUUGUUAGCUGACUUUUGCUAGCAUUUAUUUACGAGUUGAAAUGCAUAGAAAAAGAAAAAAACAGAUGUCUUCUUGUCCCACAUAAUUUUUGCGGACAAAAUUCCCAAAAAGUGCAGUACCCAUUUUAACUCAUUAAAGGUGUCCUGUUCGACCAGGGGUCGGCGACCCGCGGUUCUAUAGCCGCAUGUGCUUCUUUAGCGCCCGGAGCUUUUACAAAAAUGUAUGAAUAUGGAAAAAGAAAAUAUCUAUUUUUUGUUUUAAUAUGGUUUCUGUAAGGAGGACAAAUAUGACACAAACCUUCCUAAUUGUUAGAAAUCCCACUGUUUCUAUCAAACAUGCUUCACUGAUGAGAGUAUUUGGCAAGCGCCGUUUCGUCCUACUAAUUUCGGCUGUACUUGAACUGACCCUAGUUUGUUUACGAGUGCAGUUUUCCUCGACGCCGCCACAAAAAUAGGUGUUUCAUGGCACUCCGUCUUUGUCUCAUUUUGUCCACCAAACGUCUUAUACUGUGCGUGAAUGCAAAAAUGUGAGCUUUGUUGAUGUUAUUGACUAUUUGGAGUGCUAAUCAGGCAUCUUUGCUCGGUGCAUGACUGCAAGCUAUAUAUUGCUAACAUGCUAUUUAGGCUAGCUGUGUGUACAUAUUGCAUCAUUAUGCCUCGUGUGUAGGUUUAUUAAUUUCCUCUACUUAUGUCGUCAAUGUCUUUAAUUAAUAUUUGCAUGUCUCAGUCAUGACACGUUAUCUGUACGUAAUAUUGGCUGCAUUUCUGAGAGUUCUUUGUGUGGCAUGUUGUUCCAGACCACAGCAAAUGUUACCCAGCUUGAAAAUAUUCUAAUAAAUCCAUUAGAAUAAUACGUUUUCUUUAACUUGGACACACACAUUUAUACCUUUGGCCAUUCUCAGUCAGGCUUUUCCAGGAGUUAUCUCACCCUCUGAGAAGUAUCAGUUUUACUAAUGUUUUUCAAUGUGUAGAAUAAAUAUUACAUUUCAACAUUUCUGUCAAACGAUUUGUGUCAGCCUGCGACACAUUGUCAUUUUAAUAGUAGGCUAUUAUGGCUAAUAUAGACACGUAUAUCAUGUGUUGCCUUCAUUAAAAGGUUUAAAUUUUUUGCGGCUCCAGACAGAUUUUUAGGGACCGAAUGUCCCUUUGGGACAGAGAACCCUAUUGUAUUUCUAAGGUUUUAUUAUUAUUAUACCACCGCCUCUUUGAGCUGUAAUUUGACCCCCUUAACAUACUUAAAAACUCACCACAUUUAACACACACAUCACGACUGGCGAAAAUUGAGAUCUAAUAAAAACAAAACCCAAAACUCAAAAUUGCGCUCUAGCACCCCCUAGGAAAAAACACAGACAAAACUUCUUGUAACUUUCGUUAGGAAUGUCGUACAGACAUGAAACAAAAAACUCUAUGUAGGUCUGACUUAGACCUACAUUUCAUACACUUACAUCCUACAGAAAAAAUCAACAGGAAGUUGGCAAAACCCCUUCAAAACAAAAUAUUCCUAAAAAAUUUCAUUUUUGCCUCUUUGAGCUGUAAUGUGACCCCCUUAUAAUACUUCAAAACUCACCAAACUCGACACACACAUCAGGACUGGUGAAAGUUGCGAUCUAAUAAAAAACAAACCCCAAAACUCAAAAUUGCGCUCUAGCGCCCCCUAGAAAUAAAACACUGACAAAACUGCUCUUGGGAAGAAAACACAGACAAAACUGCUUGUAACUUCCGGUAGGAAUGUCGUAGAGACAUGAAACAAAAACCUCUAUGUAGGUUUCACUUAGACCUACAUUUCAUCAUCGACAUCCUUAAGCAAAUAUCAACAGGAAGUUGGCAAUUACCCCUUCAAAACAAACGUUUUGUAAAAACAUGUCACCUUUUUUCAAACAUUAUCUCC